UACGUAGGGUGCGAGCGUUAAUCGGAAUUACUGGGCGUAACGUGUGCGCAGGCGGCCGCGCCAGUCGAGUGUGAAAGCCCCGAGCUUAACUUGGGAAUUGCGCUCGAAACUACGUGGCUGGAGUGUGGCAGAGGAAGGUGGAAUUCCACGUGUAGCGGUGAAAUGCGUAGAGAUGUGGAGGAACACCAAUGGCGAAGGCAGCCUUCUGGGCCAACACUGACGCUCAGGCACGAAAGCGUGGGGAGCAAACAGG
This 253-nucleotide ribosomal RNA is filed under the name uncultured bacterium. RNAcentral describes it as "partial 16S ribosomal RNA". It matches the Rfam family "Bacterial small subunit ribosomal RNA", at positions 524 to 776 of the family's 1533-position model. The record is from RNAcentral.